RNAcentral lists this ribosomal RNA (500 nucleotides) under uncultured Glomus. RNAcentral describes it as "SSU rRNA". It matches the Rfam family "Eukaryotic small subunit ribosomal RNA", at positions 569 to 1074 of the family's 1831-position model. The record is from RNAcentral. Lineage: Eukaryota; Fungi; Glomeromycota; Glomeromycetes; Glomerales; Glomeraceae.
AGCAGCCGCGGUAAUUCCAGCUCCAAUAGCGUAUAUUAAAGUUGUUGCAGUUAAAAAGCUCGUAGUUGAAUUUCGGGAUCAGUAUGUUGGUCGUGCUUCGGUACGUACUGUCAUUACUGGUUUCUACCUUCUGAAGAACCUUGAUGUCAUUAAUUUGGUGUCUUGGGGAAUCAGGACUGUUACUUUGAAAAAAUUAGAGUGUUUAAAGCAAGCAUACGCUUGAAUACAUUAGCAUGGAAUAAUGAAAUAGGACGUUUGAUUCUAUUUUGUUGGUUUCUAGGAUCGACGUAAUGAUUAAUAGGGAUAGUUGGGGGCAUUAGUAUUCAAUUGUCAGAGGUGAAAUUCUUGGAUUUAUUGAAGACUAACUACUGCGAAAGCAUUUGCCAAGGAUGUUUUCAUUAAUCAAGAACGAAAGUUAGGGGAUCGAAGACGAUCAGAUACCGUCGUAGUCUUAACCAUAAACUAUGCCGACUAGGGAUCGGAUGAUGUAUUUUUAAUGA